CCUACGGGGGGCUGCAGUGGGGAAUUUUGGACAAUGGGCGAAAGCCUGAUCCAGCCAUGCCGCGUGCAGGAUGAAGGCCUUCGGGUUGUAAACUGCUUUUGGACGGAACGAAAAACCACUUUCUAAUACAAGGUGGUCAUGACGGUACCGUCAGAAUAAGCACCGGCUAACUACGUGCCAGCAGCCGCGGUAAUACGUAGGGUGCAAGCGUUAAUCGGAAUUACUGGGCGUAAAGCGUGCGCAGGCGGUUAUGUAAGACAGAUGUGAAAUCCCCGGGCUCAACCUGGGAACUGCAUUUGUGACUGCAUAGCUAGAGUACGGUAGAGGGGGAUGGAAUUCCGCGUGUAGCAGUGAAAUGCGUAGAUAUGCGGAGGAACACCGAUGGCGAAGGCAAUCCCCUGGACCUGUACUGACGCUCAUGCACGAAAGCGUGGGGAGCAAACAGGAUUAGAUACCCUUGUAGUC
Molecule: ribosomal RNA, 465 nt
Filed under: uncultured Comamonadaceae bacterium
Lineage: Bacteria; Pseudomonadati; Pseudomonadota; Betaproteobacteria; Burkholderiales; Comamonadaceae
Description: bacterial SSU rRNA
Rfam family: Bacterial small subunit ribosomal RNA
Source: RNAcentral